AAAGAUACAGUGGCGGAUCCCCUCCGCUUAGCUUUCUGCUGAGACUCGUGUUCCCUCCACCCAGUCAUGUCUUAACGGAAACAAUCCCUCUGCUUCUAGAGGAAAGGUCCCAAAUCCCAGUGGGAUUUACGGGGUACAUUUGGUUUAGUCCAGGCAGGUUCAGAUCACUUGCAAGACAACUAUGAAGAAGGGCUUGGGUAUGGGCGUUUCAAUAUGAUUUCAGUCAUUUGUUAUGUAAAAGUUAAUACCGAGAGAAAAUGAAAGUAGAGAAAGCUGAUGAACAA
Molecule: long non-coding RNA, 284 nt
Organism: Cynara cardunculus var. scolymus (artichoke)
Lineage: Eukaryota; Viridiplantae; Streptophyta; Magnoliopsida; Asterales; Asteraceae
Exons: 2
Source: RefSeq, a predicted model, not a curated record